CGGUAGUGUAUAAAUAAGCAUCGGCUAACUCCGUGCCCAGCAGCCGCGGUAAUACGGAGGAUGCGAGCGUUAUCCGGAUUCAUUGGGUUUAAAGGGUGCGUAGGCGGCUUUUUAAGUCAGUGGUGAAAUCCCUGCCCGCUUAACGGUAGAAUUGCCAUUGAUACUGAAGAGCUUGAGUACAAUUGAGGUAAGCGGAAUGUGUAGUGUAGCGGUGAAAUGCUUAGAUAUUACACAGAACACCGAUUGCGAAGGCAGCUUACUAAACUGUCACUGACGCUGAUGCACGAAAGCGUGGGGAGCGAACAGGAUUAGAUACCCUGGUAGUCCACGCCGUAAACGAUGAUCACUCGCUGUAUGCGAUACACAGUAUGCGGCCAAGCGAAAGCAUUAAGUGAUCCACCUGGGGAGUACGAUCGCAAGGUUGAAACUCAAAGGAAUUGACGGGGGCCCGCACAAGCGGAGGAACAUGUGGUUUAAUUCGAUGAUACGCGAGGAACCUUACCUGGGCUUAAAUGGGGAACGACAGCUGCCGAAAGGUUGCCUUCUUCGGACGUUCUUCAAGGUGCUGCAUGGUUGUCGUCAGCUCGUGCCGUGAGGUGUCGGGUUAAGUCCCAUAACGAGCGCAACCCUUAUCGUUAGUUGCCAGCGGGUCAAGCCGGGGACUCUAGCGAGACUGCCACCGUAAGGUGUGAGGAAGGUGGGGAUGACGUCAAAUCAGCACGGCCCUUAUGUCCAGGGCUACACACGUGUUACAAUGGCCGAUACAAAGGGCAGCUACCAGGUGACUGGAUGCUAAUCUCUAAAGUCGGUCUCAGUUCGGAUCGAAGUCUGCAACCCGACUUCGUGAAGCUGGAUUCGCUAGUAAUCGCGCAUCAGCCAUGGCGCGGUGAAUACGUUCCCGGGCCUUGCACACACCGCCCGU
Molecule: ribosomal RNA, 922 nt
Filed under: uncultured bacterium
Lineage: Bacteria
Description: bacterial SSU rRNA
Rfam family: Bacterial small subunit ribosomal RNA
Source: RNAcentral